Herpailurus yagouaroundi (jaguarundi) is the source of this 369-nucleotide long non-coding RNA. RefSeq lists it as uncharacterized. The record is from RefSeq and is a predicted model, not a curated record. The transcript is spliced from 2 exons. NCBI's taxonomy places the organism in Eukaryota, Metazoa, Chordata, Mammalia, Carnivora, Felidae.
AUAAGAAAACUUCUAUAGGACCACUGGAAAAGAGAGAAAGAUACCACUGACACGAGAAAAAUGUGGAACUUCAGGAAUGUGUGCAACAGAGGAGAUUAACUGAAGCAAAACCCGAGGAGACUUGAACAGCAGUUUCAGAUUCCACAGGACCUGAAUCACUCCAGGAGUCAAAAUAUACAUGGUGGUGGAGACUGGGGGUGUGGAUGCCCUCAGGAGAGUGUACUGAGGGACAGGAGAAUGAGAACAAGAACAGAAAUCUAAUUUUGGGAAACUAAGGAGCAGGCGGAGGAAGAGGAGCCCAUGAAGCUGAUGGAAAAGGAGCAGCUGGGGAAUGAAGACCGUAGUGAAAAGGGGUAUCACAGAGACCAC